UACAGAGGGGGCAAGCGUUGUUCGGAAUUACUGGGCGUAAAGGGCGCGUAGGCGGCCUGCUAAGUCGAACGUGAAAUCCCCGGGCUCAACCCGGGAACUGCGUCCGAUACUGACAGGCUUGAAUCCGGGAGAGGGAUGUGGAAUUCCAGGUGUAGCGGUGAAAUGCGUAGAUAUCUGGAGGAACACCGGUGGCGAAGGCGGCACCCUGGACCGGCAUUGACGCUGAGGCGCGAAAGCCAGGGGAGCAAACGGG
Molecule: ribosomal RNA, 253 nt
Filed under: uncultured bacterium
Lineage: Bacteria
Description: partial 16S ribosomal RNA
Rfam family: Bacterial small subunit ribosomal RNA
Source: RNAcentral